UUAGAAAUUCACUCAGAAACUAAAAGUUUUAGCUUCUCUAAAAUCGAUUAAACUGAAAGUCGGAAUGCAUGAACAUAAUUAUGUUUAUUUGAAUUAACUUUAAUACACGUUUAUACUUUGGGCUUAACGACAGUUCUUGCGUUAUAACUCCGAGCUGAGCACAAGUUGUAUGAUAUGGAAAUGAAAUUUAUACGUGAAAUUGACCCACAUUACAGCAUUUUCGAGCGUCACCACAUUCAGUGUGCAUGCGCAGACGUCGCUGCAUAAAGAAGUUGAACGGCAAAUUUUUUUAGUGUAUCCACGUAGAAAACUGACUGUCUAAUCAUACUCAGAGCACGAUGGCUAACAAACAGCAGCUCAGGAACUCAAUUAAAAUUAAACGAUGUCGUAAUGAUCUUGUGCAUGGGCUUGAUGAUGUGACUAUAAAAAACAUGGUUGAUCAUUUUUUAUCUCAAUCGUUUAUCAAUGACGAGGAAAAGAAUGGAAUUCAAGUAGAAAAGACUCCACAAGACAAAGCUCGGAACUUACACGACGUUAUUCGCCGCAAAGUGGAAAGCCAGGAUAAACAGAAUAAGUCAAAAAUAUUCGAUGGAUUUGUGAAAUGUCUAAGAGAACAUAACCCGAGUUUAGCAUUAACCGUGGAAAAUGCUGAUGACAGUGUGCCGAAUGACGAACUUGACAUAGAUAAUAUCCUUGAACGUGUUAAAAAUAUAGAUUUGAAUGAGAAAAUGUUAAAUCGUAUUUUGAUGCACGUAGACUCUGGAUGGGAACAUGUGGCUACCGAAUUAGGUGUUAGCCAUGUGAAACUUAGUAUUGCUAAGCAAAACACCUCAGACGUACGCACCCAGAUGCUUGAGGUAUUUAAUGCUUGGAAAGACAUACAGCCCCACGGAUCAAAUGGAUUAUCAAAACUUCUAGAAGUCUUCGAUCGCUGUUAUGAAUGCAACAUAGACUUGAAGAAAAUAUAUGAAGAAAUAAAGAAAAAAUAAGAUUAAAAAAAGCCUCACAAUCUCGACUGUCUUGUAUGUUUAUAUUAACAAAGUAUCGUUUAUCCGAUACACUUGUUGAUAUGCACAGAUCAAUAUAUAAAUGGACAAAGAACAGACACGUCGAAAAUGAAAUUAUCCAACACUGAACAGCAUAAUUCUUACAUCGUGGACCGAUAUAAAACAUCGACAUCGACAUGCGAAAACUGAAACUAUGCAUUAUUAACAGACGUUACAUUUUAAUUAUUGAAUACUUUUCAACGAAGUUUAUUUUCGACUUUUAAUAUGGAAACUUACCGGGUGAGAGUGAAUUCAUAUCAAACGCGGAAAGUCUGCUAUGAGAGAAAGAUCAGUAGUAUAUAGCCAUUCCCAGGGGCAACCAGUCUUGAAAUCUUGUGUUAUGGCCUGGGGGACAAUAACGAACAGGAGUGUUUUGAGAACUGAACCCUGAUGAACACCUAAAGAUAUUCUAAAUUUAUUACUGUACUCCUGGUUAACUCUCACUUCUAACAUACAGUAUUCAUAAAGCAUUUUACCCCGAACUUCUUUAGAGCCCACUGUAUCACACAGUGGUGUACACUCAUGAAAGCUUUCUCCAAGUCAACAAAUGUCUAGUACAAUGGUUUAUUCUUAGCCGAAUAUUUCUUCUGCUGUAGUCUGACAAUAAACAUGACAUCUAGAUUGCGUCAGACUGACAUUAUGUUCCCCAGAAUGGAGUCACUAAAGAACAUAAUGGCAUGUUUUUGCCUAUAAUAUCCUUUAAAUAAAAUAACUAUUUAAUUCUUUCCUUAUUAUUAU
RNA transcript from Octopus sinensis (East Asian common octopus), 1784 nucleotides. RefSeq lists it as uncharacterized. Lineage: Eukaryota; Metazoa; Mollusca; Cephalopoda; Octopoda; Octopodidae. The transcript has 3 exons. The record is from RefSeq and is a predicted model, not a curated record.